RNA transcript from Girardinichthys multiradiatus, 3906 nucleotides. It is a transcript of the gene named sulfotransferase family 4A, member 1, with no coding region annotated. NCBI's taxonomy places the organism in Eukaryota, Metazoa, Chordata, Actinopteri, Cyprinodontiformes, Goodeidae. The record is from RefSeq and is a predicted model, not a curated record. The transcript is spliced from 8 exons.
CUCAGGAUUUGCUGCGUGGGUUACCUCGCUGCUCGCAUCCAGCGCCAGUCUCUGCAUUUCGUAAGGCCGGUCCUGCUACCACCACCACAAUCAUCAUCAUCAUCAUCACCAUCACCAGAUACGGUUCAUCUUCGUCUCUUUUUCUAACGGAAGCUGUUUGCGUGGGUGAGCGCGUCUUGUCCACCUUGCACUGGCGGAAAGUGUCGAGGAUGGCCGAGAGCGAGGCAGACACGCCAAGCACACCGAUCGAGUUUGAGAGUAAAUACUUCGAGUUUGACGGAGUGCGGCUGCCGCCCUUCUGCAGAGGAAAGAUGGAGGAGAUCUCCAACUUCUCCCUGAGAAGUAGCGACAUAUGGAUAGUCACCUACCCGAAAUCAGGAACCAGUCUGUUGCAGGAAGUUGUGUUUCUAGUGAGUCAGGGGGCAGAUCCUGACGAGAUUGGGCUCAUGAACAUCGAUGAACAGCUGCCUGUCAUAGAAUAUCCUCAACCAGGGCUGGAUGUUAUACAGGAGCUUACAUCACCUCGCUUGAUUAAAAGCCAUCUUCCCUACCAAUUUCUCCCUACAGCUAUGCACAAUGGAGAGGCCAAGGUUAUCUACAUGGCCAGGAAUCCCAAAGACCUGGUAGUGUCCUACUAUCAGUUUCACCGUUCUCUCAGGACCAUGAGCUACCGUGGAACUUUUCAGGAAUUCUGUCGACGCUUCAUGAAUGAUAAAUUGGCAUAUGGUUCUUGGUUUGAACAUGUUCAGGAAUUUUGGGAACAUCGUAUGGACUCCAAUGUCCUCUUCUUGAAAUAUGAAGACAUGUUCAAGGACCUGGGGACGAUGGUGGAGAAGUUGGCCAGGUUCCUCUGUGUUUCCUGUGACAAAGCUCAGCUGGAAGUUCUGGUGGAGAACUGCAACCAACUUAUUGAGCAAUGCUGCAAAUCUGAAGCACUGUCUAUCUCUAGCUUGAGUUGAAAUCUGGUGUCAGACAAGUUGCUCUGAUCUGUGUCAUACACGUCACAGCAGGUCGUGUGGGUGUGUGGAGGGAUGUCUUCACAGUGUCUAUGAAUGAAACAUUUGAUGCUUAUUACAGACAGAAGAUGGCCAAAUCCGACCUAACAUUUGACUUCUGCCUGUGAGGAUUUCAGCACUCCUCCCACCAAAGACUCCCACCUCCCCAACAACACUGAUCUGUACACGUGCUCAUAUCUUGAAGAAAUUCGUGCUUCAGUACAUCUCCAUCAGCUCAGUCAGUCGCAAGUUUAACUGUGUAGUUUGAUAGUGGGAUGACUUUUAAAAAAGGUUUCUAAUAAUGCAAUCUGUUUCAAAGAAAUCACACACUUACUGCCUGAUAGAAAUCACUGUGCAAAGUAUCAAAUAUGGCUGAACAAUCAAACUUCUCAACCACAAUAUUCACCUUAUGUUGCUGCUGUGUGCAGUAAACACUAGGGCUUUAGGGCAUUUGGGCUAUUCUGAAAGGGUAUUCGGGAGAGGUAUUCAGGCCAUACAGUAUUUGCAUCUAUAUUUCUUCAGUUUUGAAGCAAAUAUUUUCAAACUUCCACCUGGACUCUGCCCUUGUGCCGAAGAAUGUCCAGCCCCUCGCAUAACAAGUCAAAUCAUGUCGAGUUCAACAUCUACAAAAAUGGUGUUGGCUUUUCAAUAUUUCUACUAUCAUUACAUCUUUGAAGUAGAAUAUGAAUGUGUUAGUGCACUGGUUCAUUUAACAGAUGUUCCUCAACAUUCACUGAUACCUCAGGAACUUGACAAAUGUGAGCACUCAUCUGAAUGCUGAUUUGGUCUCCAUUCAAAUUUUCCUAACAAAUAGCCUCUUCCAAUAAAUGUUAGGUGAACUGUUUUGUGCAGAAUAAUGUCACCUGGUUAGAUUCUAGCACAUUAAAAGCAGAAUAGAAUAUAAACUUAGCACAAAAUAAGGACAUUUGAUUGGUUGAUUGUUUCUAUUUUGAAACAAUACUUGUUGGUAAUAAAUCAUAGAACACUGUAAUGUAAUUUUUCUCCUUUUAAAUGGUCCCUCGUCUGUAAGGAAACACAUUUGUGGGUUGAGCAGCAGAGCUUUGGAAAACUGGGCAGAUUCUCUCUGCCUAUGCAAACAGCUUAUUCUGCUGUCAACCACUGUUUGGUGUUGGACUAUUGAUCGAGAGCAACAGUUAGAGGAGGGAAGUUCCACUUUGAGUAACCAAGGGGGUCAAACUGACUUGAAACAUUCUAAGGUACUGGAAAUUUUAAAAUAUAGUUAACGAAAAGGACCUGGAAGAAAUAUUUGUUUAAUGCUAAAAUGUCUAGGAAUUUAGCUUUAGUGUUCCCUUCAUAAACUCCACUAAGAAAUUAUAUAAAUAAUCAGUUAUAUAAAUGUAUAUAUCAGUCUACAAUCAGUUUUACUUACUAAAGUGUGCUUCUAUGAAAUAUAUAAACUACAUUUCCCAUCUACGGAUAUUCAUUCAUCAGUUAAUUCCCACAGACAAACCCGUAUGUUUCUACCAUGUAGCACGGUUCAAAGUGUCCCAGCGGUGCACCCGAAUAGCCAAAAGUGUACAGCUGCUAGGGUAAAUGAAUAAAUAUAUGGCCAAUCAGUGUAUCUAAUUCCUGGCCUGGACUAUUGUCCCAGUCCACCCCUGACUGGAUGAUUAUAGAGUAAGAAACAAGACAUGUUGGUAAUUUAGCAGUUCAUCAAACAGGUCCUCAGUAAUAGAACUAUAGACAACCACCACAGCCAGGCAACUCCUCCUUGUGCAGGUCACCAGCUUUGUCACAUACUGUUGGGGUUUGCAUCCCAUCCUUGACAUCCCAGCAUGUCACAGUUCAGUCAUUGUGGUUGUUGGUCGCUCUGCUGUCAGCAGCAUGUCCAAGCUGAUUCAAUAAGGUAGAGGUUAGCUCUGCAGACAGACCAUCACAAACUCUCUACUAACCAGUUCUGGAAGUAGUGUCUGAUAAAGCCUGGGGGCGAGUAUUGACAUCUUGGAAGAUGGAGUGUGGCCCCCAAGAGUGGAAGAAGUUAAGAUUGCUACUGGCUGCAGAACCUCAUAUCAAUAUCUCUCUGCAUUAAGAUUACAACCCUUGUUUUUUUCAGCGAGGGAGAUGCCACCCCACCCAACGAUGCCUCCACCAAAAGGUGUUUGACAUUGGCAGGGAGAGUUUUUAAAUGAAGUUUUUUAUGAGCGCAGCCCACAUAGCAGACUCUGCUGCUCAACCCACAAAUGUAUUUUCCUUACAAAGUGCCACAGAACAAAUGGGGGGAAAAAGAGGCUUUCUAACAGUAUAGGAGGUAUUGCCAAGAAACGUUUUUACAACAAUGAAAAAGUCCACCAACAAAGGCAAAUUUAUUUCUAUAUUUUGUCCUGCGUUUAGUGGGAGAUAAUUGAGAAGUCUUUGAGUGGGUUGUUUUAUAAGAGUUACAAUGAGAAACCACUUUCACACUAUAAAUUGUUUUUUGACCACCCAACAGCUUUUUAUUAUUUAUCUUUUAAACUUUAAAUGUAAAGUUAUAAUUGACAGCUUUAGUAACAGGUGAAGAUAUUACCAUCUUUAAGGGCCACCUAGUAUAUUUCACCCACAAACAUCUGUGCAUUGUUUUUGCUCAUAGCUGGAAUACUAAAUUUUGUUUACACUGGAAAGAUACAAGAAAUAAAUAUGAACAUAGGAAUCAAUGCAAAAGUAUUCACACUACGUGAACCUUUUCAUAUUUUGUCACAUUGCAACCAUAUACUACAGUGUAUUUUAAUGGAAUUUUAAGUAAUAGUAGUACAGUAGUACAUAAAUGUGAAAGGGAAAGAAAAUGAUACAUGGUUUUCCACAUUUUUCACAAAUACAAAAAUCAAGAAACCAAACCUCUAAAACAAUGCAGUAUCUUCAUAAGUCAUCUAAUUUGUAAAUAGAUCUGUGUGUAAUUAAACUUAGUAUAAAUCCA